This 27-nucleotide small RNA is filed under the name Bombyx mori (domestic silkworm). RNAcentral describes it as "ovarian small RNA-24334". The record is from RNAcentral. Lineage: Eukaryota; Metazoa; Arthropoda; Insecta; Lepidoptera; Bombycidae.
UAUUUGGUGUAAAGAGAAUACAAUAAU